Molecule: ribosomal RNA, 407 nt
Filed under: uncultured bacterium
Lineage: Bacteria
Description: partial 16S ribosomal RNA
Rfam family: Bacterial small subunit ribosomal RNA
Source: RNAcentral
AUUGAACGCUAGCGGGAUGCCUUACACAUGCAAGUCGAACGGCGUGGCGACCGGGUGCGUAAUGUCUCUGAACGUGCCCCGUAGCGGGGGCUACCUACGCGCAAGCGUAGCUCAUACCGCCUCCUAUUGGCGCGGCCGAUAUCGGAUUAGCUAGUUGGUGGGGUAACGGCUCACCAAGGCGACGAUCCGUAGCUGGUUUGAGAGGACGACCAGCCACACUGGGACUGAGACACGGCCCAGACUCCUACGGGAGGCAGCAGUGGGGAAUUUUGGACAAUGGGGGAAACCCUGAUCCAGCCAUCCGGCGUGUGCGAUGAAGGCCUUCGGGUUGUAAAGCACUUUUGGCAGGAAAGCGGUACCUGCAGAAUAAGCACCGGCUAACUACGUGCCAGCAGCCGCGGUAAUAC